UCCUGUGUGGCUGUCUCUGAUGGCAUCAUCAAGGUAUCCAAUGACAUGAAGGUACACAAGUUGUUGACACCAGAGGAGUUGAAGAAGCUCAAGAAGGUGGUACUCUUCUGCCUGAGUGAGGACAAGAACUCAUCCUCAAGGAGGGCAAGCAGAUGUUCGUGGGUGAUGUCAGCCAGACUGUCAGUGGCCUCUCCACCACCUCUGUCAAGAUGCUGCCAGACAAAGACUGCCAUAACGCCCUCUGUGACGCAAACUGUGAGACAAAGGAGAGCAAGGAGGAGGACCUGGUGUUCAGCUUCUGGGCCUGAGUCUGCACCCCUGAAGAGCAAAAUGAUCUAUGCCAACUCCAAGGACACUAUCAAGAAGAAGCUGACGGGGAUCAAGCAUGAAUUACAAGCAAACUGCUACGCGGAAGUCAAGAACGACCGCACCUUUGCAGAGAAGCUGGGAGGCAGUGCCAUUAUCUCCCUGGAGGGAAACCCUUUG
RNAcentral lists this long non-coding RNA (486 nucleotides) under Homo sapiens (human). RNAcentral describes it as "non-protein coding lnc-OXSM-5:1". The record is from RNAcentral. Lineage: Eukaryota; Metazoa; Chordata; Mammalia; Primates; Hominidae.